RNAcentral lists this RNase P RNA (343 nucleotides) under human gut metagenome. RNAcentral describes it as "Bacterial RNase P class B". It matches the Rfam family "Bacterial RNase P class B". Rfam says of the family: Ribonuclease P (RNase P) is a ubiquitous endoribonuclease, found in archaea, bacteria and eukarya as well as chloroplasts and mitochondria. Its best characterised activity is the generation of mature 5'-ends of tRNAs by cleaving the 5'-leader elements of precursor-tRNAs. Cellular RNase Ps are ribonucleoproteins. The record is from RNAcentral.
CUUGACAAACGCUGUAUCUAAUAUGAUAUAGAGGAAAGUCCAUGCUCGCACUGUUCUGAGAUGACAGUAGUGAUUGUGCACAGGGAAAAAAUAACCUGUGGUAGCAUUUUGCUAACGGCACCGAACUGACCUAAGUCUUUAUGAUAUGGUCACGGGUAGGUAUAAAGUGCCAUAGUGACGAUACUUGCUAGAAAUAGUAAGAGUGGAACGCGGUAAACCCCACAAGCGAGAAACCCAAAAUAUGGUAGGGGAGCUUUGAUGAGAUAAAUGAAUUAAGUCAAGGACUGGUAACAGUAGAUAAAUGUUUGUCGCCUAUAUAAUAGGUACAGAACAUGGCUUAUAA